Molecule: ribosomal RNA, 253 nt
Filed under: uncultured bacterium
Lineage: Bacteria
Description: partial 16S ribosomal RNA
Rfam family: Bacterial small subunit ribosomal RNA
Source: RNAcentral
UACGGAGGAUCCAAGCGUUAUCCGGAAUCAUUGGGUUUAAAGGGUCCGUAGGCGGUUUUGUAAGUCAGUGGUGAAAGCCCAUCGCUCAACGGUGGAACGGCCAUUGAUACUGCAAGACUUGAAUUAUUGGGAAGUAACUAGAAUAUGUAGUGUAGCGGUGAAAUGCUUAGAGAUUACAUGGAAUACCAAUUGCGAAGGCAGGUUACUACUAAUAUAUUGACGCUGAUGGACGAAAGCGUGGGGAGCGAACAGG